ACAGGUAGAGGUGCGGCUGAGAUCAGUACCUCAGUUCCGGAUGACCAGUCCCAUGGAACUGAGCGAAAGGCAAGGCUGCCGAAGGACGGUAUCUGGUAAAUCCCGUUCUGGGCGCUUACCGAACAGGUAUGCGACUGUCAUCAUAGUUAUGGUGGAGUGCUAUCGG
RNAcentral lists this non-coding RNA (166 nucleotides) under Ruminococcus flavefaciens. Its description in RNAcentral is "Lysine riboswitch". It matches the Rfam family "Lysine riboswitch aptamer". Rfam says of the family: Riboswitches are metabolite binding domains within certain messenger RNAs that serve as precision sensors for their corresponding targets. The record is from RNAcentral. Lineage: Bacteria; Bacillati; Bacillota; Clostridia; Eubacteriales; Oscillospiraceae.